AUCAUAAUAGGGUAAGGGGCCCAGUAGUCGACAGUACACCAGUAGUCGACACUUUCAACUUUGCGAUCGAUUUCCCGCGAAGAAGUUAACGUUAGAGUCUCGCGCGUUUUUCCGGGUUGUAGCGCGCUCUAUUGAGAUUAUAAUGAACCCAUUGCCGAUUCCGUGCCACCUCCGGGAGCCGGUUGGGAGCGCUUCGCACAGAAGACUGCUCGUCG
Long non-coding RNA from Frankliniella occidentalis (western flower thrips), 215 nucleotides. RefSeq lists it as uncharacterized. The transcript is spliced from 2 exons. The record is from RefSeq and is a predicted model, not a curated record. NCBI's taxonomy places the organism in Eukaryota, Metazoa, Arthropoda, Insecta, Thysanoptera, Thripidae.